This 449-nucleotide ribosomal RNA is filed under the name Macroglenes sp. XD-2005. RNAcentral's name for it is "eukaryotic LSU rRNA". It matches the Rfam family "Eukaryotic large subunit ribosomal RNA", at positions 293 to 537 of the family's 3401-position model. The record is from RNAcentral. Lineage: Eukaryota; Metazoa; Arthropoda; Insecta; Hymenoptera; Pirenidae.
UUGGUGGUAAACUCCAUCUAAGGCUAAAUAUGACCACGAGACCGAUAGCAAACAAGUACCAUGCGGGAAAGUUGAAAAGAACUUUGAAGAGAGAGUUCAAGAGUACGUGAAACCGUUCAGGGAUAAACUUGAGAAAGCCAAAAGAUCGAAUGGGGAGAUUCAUCGUCAGCGUUGGGUGCCGGCGGCCCGGUUGGUCGACUGUCGCGUCGCGUCUCACGACGCGCUCACGCAACAGACCACCGGUCGCCCGGCGGUAAUGAUCGCUAUUAAGUGGUAACGGGCCGCACCAAGUGCGUUCAGGCUCGUCGGCAGGCUCCUCUCGCUCGGAUUUACGGACCUCGUGCCGUUGCCGGGCGCUUGGGGGGCCGUUAGUCGACGAUGUCCUCGGACCGGCUCGCCUUUCACACAUUCGAACGGAUAUACCGGUCGGCGACGCUACUGCUUGGUAC